Molecule: long non-coding RNA, 1020 nt
Filed under: Anas platyrhynchos platyrhynchos (common mallard)
Lineage: Eukaryota; Metazoa; Chordata; Aves; Anseriformes; Anatidae
Description: lncRNA (ENSAPLG00000030670.1)
Source: RNAcentral
GUUUCCAGCCGGCUCCCCUCACAGCGAGCCCCCCCCCCCCCCCCCCCCCCCCGCCCCCCCCCCCCCCCCCCCCCCCCGUCGCUAUGGCAACCCGCGCGCGGCGCCGGCCGUUGCUUGGCGGUUGAGGCAGGGGCUCGCGCCCGGCCCGGCCCAGCCGUUGAGGGCGGCGCGUGCGCCGCCACCCCGGGAGGCCGGGGAGGCGGGGCGGGAAGGCUCGGCGCGCAUGCGCGCUUGGAAGCGGCGGGGCGGGCACCCCCCCCCCUCCCCUCCCUCCCGCCUCCCUCCGCCUCCUCCCGCCCCGGUGUGAGGCGAGGGCGGGCGGCGGGGCCCCCGCGCGGAGCCGGCGCAGGCGGCAGCGGAGCCCGCAGCCGGAGCCUUUCCCUCAGCCCGGCCCGGCCCGGCCCAGCCCCGCUCGCAGGUGAGGCGCGGCGGGGAGGAGGAGGAGGAGGAGAGGAGGAGGAGGGGACCGGGCAGCCGGCGCCCGCCUCCGCGGGGAGCCGCGGCGGGGCUCAUUGUCCGGCUGCGGGGAGGAGGAGGAGAAACAGGCGGCUUCCCCCCGCCCGGCGGCGCGGCGGGCCCGGCAGCGCUGCACGGCCGGGGAUUGGAGGCGCCGCGUCCCCUCCCAGAUCCGGGGAGGGUCCCGGCACCCCUCUGCCCGGCUCCACACGGUGCCGGGAGCCCCGAGCCCUGCCCGCAGCCUGCCUCCCCUCGGGGAACAGACAGACAGACGGACACACGGAUAGACAGAUAGAUACACGGACAGACAGACAAACACACGGGCAGACAGGCGGCCAGGCGCCCUCCCCCGCGGGCCGGGGGCGGCGGGGCCCCCUCCCCUGUCAGCGGCUGUGGGGCGGUGGCGGCCUCGCCGCAAGAUGGAGGGCUGUGGGGCGGGGGGGGGCCCGGCCGGCUCUCCCCUCUUUUCUUUACCAUCAUCGUUAUCCUUCGUUAUCAUCAUUAUCACGGCUUCGUUCUCCGUCCCCGGGGGUCGUGGCCUGGGUCUGGGGGCAGUUGCGGUGA